UGCCUUCGGUGGACCGGUCAGCUGAAAUACAUUCACGCUAUGGGGGCUGCUCUCCUUUCGAGAAGAGGCGAGUUCCGAUUUGGUAGGUGACCUUUGCCGGUUGCAUGCCUUCGUUGCCCGCUACGCCUUCCCAUCUGCGUUGUGCAGGACGCCUUUUGGCUUUCGACCUGAGGUCAGGCAAGAACACCCGCUGAACUUAA
Molecule: unclassified non-coding RNA, 200 nt
Filed under: soil metagenome
Description: partial contains internal transcribed spacer 2 and large subunit ribosomal RNA
Source: RNAcentral